Molecule: long non-coding RNA, 2192 nt
Filed under: Triticum aestivum (bread wheat)
Lineage: Eukaryota; Viridiplantae; Streptophyta; Magnoliopsida; Poales; Poaceae
Description: long non-coding RNA (TAES_LNC026588)
Source: RNAcentral
UACAUUUUGCAUAAUUGAUCUAUUUCACAACAAAUCAAGAACAUACACAGCUUAAUAGGUUACAUUAAUCAUAGUUUUAAUAAAUCACAUGUACUUUGUAUACAAAUCCGUCUAAUUUGCAUACAACAAAGCAGGAAGAGCACAUCUAAUAACACAUAAGUUCGUCAACUACAUAUGAAAAACAUGACCUCAUUUGUUACUCAAUUACAGCUUGAAUUGGCUUCUUUUCCAGAUUAGCCUGCACCAAAAAGACUCAUCAAUCUGUUAAAGAAAGGACUCGUUGAGGUUGUACAUUUUAUGUCAAAUGUCAAUUGCAAAAGUACGAUUGCAAGAACUAGGACCAUUGAUCUGUGAUAUAGUAAGAACCUAUUUGGCAUCUUAGUUUCUCAAAUUAACUUGGCCAAACCUUACCUCCAUCCCUCUAAAUCCAUCACAUAAUAACUAGGUGAAACUAUAAGUCGCAGAAUUGUACACAAAGUUGACACCAAAUUUAAUUGAUGGAGCUGCAAACCAUAUAUGUGGAACAUCAUUGCAGCAAACUUGCUCAUAAGUUUUAAUAGUAUGUACCAGAAACAGAUGUCCUUCUCUAUAGACAAAAGCUUCUGUACAAAACAGUACCCAGAUUUAAGAAGCAUGGAGGCUACUUUUUGAAAAGAAAAACAUGAAGGAACAAUCUUAUUAUAAUUACUUCUCUUUGAAGUAUUGUCAUUAGUUAAAAAAAUCAACAAAAUAGCUUUUGCAGCUUAGUAUAGUAUGAAAAAUACUAGGGGGGCAAGGCCACGAGCUGGGAGAUGACAUUCGCCAGAGGCAAUGGACAACUAAAUUCAACAUCAGACCACUUGUUGAGUGUUGUGUUCCUGGUCUCCAUUCCAACAUUUCAAAACAAAUUAGUUUUCAAACGGGUACUCAAAAUCAUAACCGUCUUUAUGUGUGAUGGCUGGUUGACAUACAACUAAAACAAUAUAUUUUUAGCAGCUAGUUUAAAACUUGUACCAAUUGAUUAAUUUCCAAGCACGAAACUAAAAGAACACACGGCAAUCAAUUCAUGCACUUGGCAAUUAAGCAAAAAAUCAUACCUCCACCCAGCAGCUCAAGGCCAACUCAACAAACACACAAAGCAAUCUUAAUUCUGUUGUCGCCCUCUUAUCCUUUGCAAAGGCUAUUUUCUGUCUGUGAAGAUAUGUAUAAAGACAGUGCUCAUUACAUAAUCUAAUUAGAGAUAAGUAGAGUGUAGGUGGUAAUAUUACAUGUAUUUCAACGGAAAACAGAACAAAUGCUAAUCACACCAUGUAUUCCGCUCAAUCUUAGUGUAGUAAAGAAUUCAGAAUUUAUGGAAACAUAUGGCUGUCUUCAAACUAAUUUAACAAAUUAAGGCAGCAAUAAAUGGUUGCAGUCCCUCAAAUGUGGUAAUAGCGGUUUCACCCAAGAUGGUUCUGCGAUGGGAGAACAUAAAUAAAAUAAUUGUUUUUCUACAUAAGGCUACUACAAUCAGUAGAUUACAUGCAUAACAAAUGAGGACAGAUUGAUGAUAUGACGUGAGCACACAACUUUACCAAGCUUAUCGGCAUAACACUAAAUUAUUUGAUUUUGUAACAGUAGGGAAUGGUACCUCUUCAUCUGGAGGAAUAAUGAUACAUUUUAAUGCCACCAGGUGAUAAACUCAACUUCUUGUUUGCAACCUCUCUGCUGUGCCAAUGAUAUUCCUUGAACUUGCAAUGUAACUGCCGAAUAAGUCAAAAAUACUAACGUAAUGAAAGGUCAAAAGGUAUGAUAGACAAAAAUCCCAAGGAACUAUAAGGAUAAGUACCAUUAAGACUGAACCAACAAAGAAAACACAAGCACAAGACAGAUCAAAUGAUCCUGAGCAUACUAAAUACAGAAUGGCAUUGUAAUGUAUAGGAUAAAACAUGGUAGAAUAUCACAUCAAUAUAAGGAGCAUCAUUGCUGCCUAAGAGAAAGAAAAAUAUAAAUUAAAGAGCUACCCUACUGAAUAUCACAUUAACAUAAAGGGCGACAAACAAACAGCUUCAUAUCUAACUGUAUCUGGUCUUAUCAUGAUAACAUAAUAAAGAAACAGAAACGACCGAGUGAUUAUAAACCCUGUUUUGGAGCUUCACAUCUAACUGUAUCUGUACUUAAGCAUGACAACCUGAUGAUAUUAACAAUGUCUUCCCCAGAUUCAGUUUCUUCCC